UUGAAGCGAAAUAUAUCAGUCCGCAAGUCUUCGCAUGCAAGUGUACGCUCGUCGCACAGCGUUAUGACGGUAUCAAUACUCCUGCUGUCCUUACUUUGUAAUUUUGGUUUAUCAUUGGCUAUCAGAGACUAUGGUAUUGUCUAUCCAACCUUGUUUAGCGCACGAGGAUCUGGCGAAGAUAAAGUUUUGAGAAUAAACGAGCAUAUGACUCUCAAUCUGAAAAAGAGCAAAGUAUUCUCUGACGACUUCAUGUUCAUAUCUGAAGAAAAUGGUGAACGAAUACAUCUCCCUAUGCGGAAAGACAUUUACGAGAAAGAUUUGUAUCAUGACGCGGAACUGAUGGCUUCACUUAUGGUUCGAACAGAUGACGGUGUCAGCGUGGUAAGGACCGCUUACUGCUG
This is a long non-coding RNA of Dermacentor silvarum, 401 nucleotides long. RefSeq lists it as uncharacterized. The record is from RefSeq and is a predicted model, not a curated record. The transcript has 3 exons. NCBI's taxonomy places the organism in Eukaryota, Metazoa, Arthropoda, Arachnida, Ixodida, Ixodidae.